Molecule: long non-coding RNA, 1671 nt
Organism: Homo sapiens (human)
Lineage: Eukaryota; Metazoa; Chordata; Mammalia; Primates; Hominidae
Gene: MIR22HG
Product: MIR22 host gene
Source: Ensembl
GUCACGACGCCGCCAGCUGAUCGGAGCCUGGAGCCGGUGUGUGCUGGGUGCCGAGAAGAGACAGCGCCGCCGGCCGUGGGGAGCGGACGCAGUGAUUUGCUCCCCCUCGUGCAGCAACCCCCACACCCAGCACCAGGCCCCCAGAACUCUCCUUCCAGCUGAACUCCCUGGGAACAAGUCAGUUGGGCUGAUCACUGAACUCACAUUUCUGGACCUGAGGAGCCUGUUCCUCUCACGCCCUCACCUGGCUGAGCCGCAGUAGUUCUUCAGUGGCAAGCUUUAUGUCCUGACCCAGCUAAAGCUGCCAGUUGAAGAACUGUUGCCCUCUGCCCCUGGCUUCGAGGAGGAGGAGGAGCUGCUUUCCCCAUCAUCUGGAAGGUGACAGAAAUGGGCUGGGAAGGUCCGAACAGCAGGGUGGAUGAUACGUUUUGGGCAAGUUGGAGAGCCUUUGCCCAGAUUGGCCCAGCAAGGAGCGGUUUUAGAUUAGAGACACUGGCUGGAUUGAGGAGUAGAAGGCUCAAACAACCCAAGCAUCUCCCUCCAGCCCUCGCUAUGUGCCUCUGCCAUCUUCACCCAUCAUGGAGCAGAGGUGAGGAGAGGCAGCCUGGGAAUAUGGAGACCAGUGAAGGACCAGGCCUGGAGAGCACAGGGUCCUACCUGGGCAUCCAGCAGAGGAGCCCCUAAAGGCCAGGAGCACCCCAAGAGGAGGGAGGGCAGCCAGCCUCCAUUGACGGCGAGCCUCCAGCCCUCUCCUACUUUGAUCACCAUUUCUCUCCAGGCUUUCUGCCUCCGAGAUGUGGCACCAUAGUGCGGUGCCCUGUGGCUUCACCGCCCUACUUCCACCUCCGCCCAGCCUGUAAUGUUUAUAUAAGCAGCCUCAAGGACCAAGAACCAUCUGCGAAAGGACACACACAGGAAAUUCAUAAAAGAAAUCUGAAUGGAUAAAACCAUGAAAAAAAGUAUGCUUCAUUAGUAAUUAAAGAAAGGCAAAUAGAGCUGGAAGCAUUUUUCCCUUAGCAAACCAUAACAGAAAAAAAUAAGACCCAAUAUUGGCAAAGAGACUACUGAAAAAACAUUCCCAUACAUUGCGUGUGGGAGUAUACAUCGGUGCAGGCUUCCUGGAUGACAGUUGGGUGAUAUGUGUCAUGUGGCCUAAAAGCCUCCAUGUCAUUUGACCUACGAAUUCUAUCUUUGGGAAUUUAUCCUAAGAAAAUACUUAAGGAUUUAGUUAGUGAUAAGAUGUUCAUCCCAGCAUUGCAAUGGAGAAAAAUGGGAAGCAAUGGUUUGGUUGGGAAUUUAUUCCUUUUCUGCUGUAACGAAAGUUUGCAAUAGGGGAUUGCUUAAGUAAAUUAUUGUAUCUCCAUCCAGAUGGUGGAGUACCGCGCAGACAUUAAAAGUCAUGUAAAAGAACAUCUGACUGAAAGAAAAAUGCUCCUUGAAUAUUAAAAGGUUGUAAAAAUAGUGCAUGUUAUGUGAUUUCAAUUUUGUUUUUUAAAAUAUGGGUGUAUGCUUGUAUACGUAGAGCAGAUAAAAAAGACGGAAGGCAUACUAAAAAAUGUUGAGUGGUUAUCUUUGUAUGGUGGAACAAAGUCACUGUAAUUUUCAUCUUUGGUUUUUCUGUAAUUUCCAAAUUUUCCACAUUUUGUAUUUCAUAUAAUAUAAUUUAAGAGA